GUGGGAGUGUUCUAGGGCAGCAGUGGGGAUUGGUGGCACACGGAGGUGGGAGUGUUCUAGGGCAGCAGUGGGGAUUGGUGGUGUAAGGCGGUGGGAGUGUUCUAGGGCAGCAGUGGGGAUUGGUGGCACAUGGCGGUGGGAGUGUUCUAGGGCAGCAGUGGGGAUUGGUGGCACACGGCAGUGGGAGUGUUCUAGGGCAGCAGUGGGGAUUGGUGGCACAUGGAGGUGGGAGUGUUCUAGGGCAGCAGUGGGGAUUGGUGGCACACGGCAGUGGGAGUGUUCUAGGGCAGCAGUGGGGAUUGGUGGCACACGGCAGUGGGAGUGUUCUAGGGCAGCAGUGGGGAUUGGUGGCACACGGCGGUGGGAGUGUUCUAGGGCAGCAGUGGGGAUUGGUGGCACACGGCAGUGGGAGUGUUCUAGGGCAGCAGUGGGGAUUGGUGGCACAAGGCGGUGGGAGUGUUCUAGCUUCACUGUGUGUGUGUGUGUUAGGGAGAGUGGGCAGGAGAGACAGGGAGGGAUGUUUGCGUAGGCACAAUGGUAACAAUAUGAGUCACGACUGUACUGAAGGACAAGUGACAUGAAUCCUUAGAAGCCCCAUGAAACAUGAGCUAUCUGACAGAUUCUUUAACACUUUACGCCUUAGUACAUGUGUAACAACACAAAACAUUUGAAUGCUUUGUACUUGCACACGGUCUAAGCUAGUUGCAGUUCACAACCCACAUGCCUUUCUACAGUAAUGGGUUGACGGUGUGGGACAGGGGUGUAGUACCUAGUAAGUAUGUAGGCUAUGCACUUCACGGGUAUGCCAUGUUGCCUAACUUGUAUCUCGUUUGUGACAACAAAAAAGAGUCAACCUUCUGUCGACCUUUGUGUACAUGGAAUAAAGAUUCAGUGACUCACUUUUUUUGUCACCUAGUAGUCUCUUUUCCCCGUUAUUAUAAUGUCAUAUUCCAAAUCAAAGAACUGGUCAGUGAAGGUUAUUGAGGACAUUGAGACAACAACCUGUUAUUGUUUAUAGUUCCACACCCAUUACGGUUAGUAGGAUGUGUUCAGUCGAGUCAUGUGUUUAUAGUUCAGGGUGUCCUGUCCAGGAAAUGAUCAUGAUACUUGUGAUGAAGAUGAAGGUGGUGAUAGUUGUGAAUGAGUCCCAGGGUCACGGCAGUGACCUCAACUCAAGGGCGGCCAGCUACAUCCACACUGUACAACGUUUGGAAUGUUGAGAAUGUUCUGUUUUUCUCAGAGCUCACUGCAAGAGAAAACAGAAUGAGAGGAGGGGAGGAGGAGAGGAAGAAGGGAGAACAACGAUAUCU
Oncorhynchus tshawytscha (Chinook salmon) is the source of this 1310-nucleotide long non-coding RNA. The record is from Ensembl. NCBI's taxonomy places the organism in Eukaryota, Metazoa, Chordata, Actinopteri, Salmoniformes, Salmonidae.